This 243-nucleotide non-coding RNA is filed under the name Colwellia sp. Its description in RNAcentral is "Lysine sequence". It matches the Rfam family "Lysine riboswitch aptamer". Rfam says of the family: Riboswitches are metabolite binding domains within certain messenger RNAs that serve as precision sensors for their corresponding targets. Lineage: Bacteria; Pseudomonadati; Pseudomonadota; Gammaproteobacteria; Alteromonadales; Colwelliaceae. The record is from RNAcentral.
AGGGCCAGAAGAGGAGCGUUAACCAGGUAGUUAUUGUGAAGAGAUCAAACUCUAUUGAGCAAUAAUGAGGGGGUUUAACGCCGAGGUAAUUGUAAAUUUGAUAAUACAAUUGCCGGUUGUUUUAGCUUAGUCGUUGUUAAACGUCGAUUAAGCAUUAUGCCAAGCGGAUCAAUAGUUGAGUCCGACUGGUAUUAGGUUGAAUCCUUGCAACUGUCACCUAUUAGGUGGAGAGCUUCUGGCCUU